This 1682-nucleotide ribosomal RNA is filed under the name metagenome. RNAcentral's name for it is "bacterial LSU rRNA". It matches the Rfam family "Bacterial large subunit ribosomal RNA", at positions 999 to 2475 of the family's 2925-position model. The record is from RNAcentral.
UAACGUCCGUCGUGGAGAGGGAAACAACCCAGACCGCCAGCUAAGGUCCCCAAAUUAUUGCUAAGUGGGAAACGAUGUGGGAAGGCUAAGACAGCCAGGAGGUUGGCUUAGAAGCAGCCAUCCUUUAAAGAAAGCGUAAUAGCUUGUGAGGUUGCUUAAACAGCUAGGAGGUUGGCUUAGAAGCAGCAAUCCUUUAAAGAAAGCGUAAUAGCUCACUAGUCGAGUCGGCCUGCGCGGAAGAUGUAACGGGGCUCAGCAAUAUACCGAAGCUGCGGCAGCACGUAAGUGCUGGGUAGGGGAGCGUUGUGUAAGUGGAUGAAGGUGUGUUGAGAAGCAUGCUGGAGGUAUCAGAAGUGCGAAUGCUGACAUGAGUAACGUAAAAUAAGUGAGAUUCUUAUUGGCCGAAAACCCAAGGAUUCCUACGCAAUGUUAAUCAACGUAGGGUAAGCCGGCCCCUAAGGCGUAGCUGAAGAGUGAAGUCGAUGGGAAACAGGUUAAUAUUCCUGUGCCGCUUAUAUGAACGAAGGAGGGACGGAGAAGGUUAGGUAGGCCUGGCGAAUGGUUGUCCAGGUGAAAGUAUGUAGGUAGAGAUGUUAGGCAAAUCCGGCAUCUUGUUGAUCUGAGGUACGAGACUAAGUCAAACUUGUUUGACGAAGCUAUUGAUACCAAGCUUCCAGGAAAAGCUUCUAAGUAUAUUGUAUAAGCGACCGUACUGUAAACCGACACUGGUGGGUAGGUAGAGAAUACUAAGGCUAUGAGAUAACUCUGGUGAAGGAACUAGGCAAAAUGACACCGUAACUUUGGAAGAAGGUGUGCCCUUGAUGGUGAUAAGACUUGCUCUUUGAGCUGUUGGGGGUUGCAGAUACCAGGUGGCUGCGACUGUUUAUCAAAAACACAGCACUCUGCUAAAUCGUAAGAUGAAGUAUAGGGUGUGACGCCUGCCCGGUGCUGGAAGGUUAAUUGAAGGGGUUAGCGCAAGCGAAGCUCUGGAUCGAAGCCCCAGUAAACGGCGGCCGUAACAAUAACGGUCCUAAGGUAGCGAAAUUCCUUGUCGGGUAAGUUCCGAACCCGCACGAAUGGGGUGUUAACGAUUUCUCCGCUGUCUCCAACAUCAACUCAGCGAAAUAGAAUUGUCUGUGAAGAUGCGGACUACAUACGGCCACGCUGUCUCGGAGAGAGGCUCGGCGAAAUAGAAUUGUCUGUGAAGAUGCGGACUACAUACACCCGCACUGUCUCGACCCGCGACCCAGCGAAAUUGACAUAGGGGUGAAGAUGCCCCUUACCCGCAGCAAGACGGAAAGACCCUGUGAACCUUUACUCUAGCUUGACAGUGAUAUUCGAUUUAGUUUGUGUAGGAUAGGUGGGAGACUUUGACCUUGGGGCGCCAGCUUCAAGUGAGUCAUUGGUGAAAUACCACCCUGAUUACUUUGGAUAUCUAACCGGCGCAAAACGCUGGGACACUGUCUGGUGGGGAGUUUGACUGGGGCGGUCGCCUCCCAAAAUGUAACGGAGGCGUGCAAAGGUUCCCUCAGCAUGAUUGGAAACCAUGCGUAGAGUGCAAUAGCAUAAGGGAGCUUGACUGCGAGACUGACAGGUCGAGCAGGUACGAAAGUAGGCUAUAGUGAUCCGGCGGUCCUGUGUGGAAAGGCCGUCGCUCAACGAAUAAAAGGUACUCCGGGGAU